Molecule: long non-coding RNA, 2617 nt
Organism: Meriones unguiculatus (Mongolian gerbil)
Lineage: Eukaryota; Metazoa; Chordata; Mammalia; Rodentia; Muridae
Exons: 6
Source: RefSeq, a predicted model, not a curated record
AGAGGGGUUGCAGAAUUCUCUGCAGCUUCGGGCUGUCCAGGGUUGUGGCUAAGGACCCACAGGCUGCCUUGUAGGACGGCAGGGCUGAUAGCUGCAGCCUGGAAUCAAGGAGCCUAAAAGGCUGGACCGUGUGGCCAGGGGUCUGCACCAGGCUGCGAGAUGGAGCCAGAGGGCACAGCAGGCCGCACUGCCUAGGUUAGGGCUGGACUCCUGGCAGUCUUUUGGGGUCUCACGAAUCAGGCACAACACAGCUAAUCAAAGCCUGCUGAGAAUUUGUUGUUCAAGAAAUGAUUUAUUGUGUUUUCAAUUGCAUGUGCGUGUGUAUGCGAGAGAAACAGAGAGAAAGAGAAGAGAGCAUGCGCACACGGCUGCUCAUGCCUGGAAACAGCAGAGGUGCUGAAUCCCCUGGAGCUGGAGUCACUGGCAUCUAUUAACCAAACUCAGGUCCUCGGCAAGACCAGCACACACUGUCUCCCUCUCCCCCAGCAUCUCCCCAGCCCCGUGCCUGGGGGUCUUUAAGAAGGUCCGUGAAGAAGCAGCUUGGUAGAUCUCUGAGGCCCACAAUGAAGAACUCCUAGACACUGCUAAAAUGAGCAUUGUUUGAUGGUGGUGGAGGAUACCGGGAAAGGAGAGGACACCGUGGACAGGGAGAGAGCCGCCUCAUUUGGCAGUGACCACAAAGGGAGGAUCCGGAGCGCCACCUGUGCGAGAUGAACCCCGGAGGCGGCCCACAGAUCUCCAUAUGUUCCUCAGAGCUGGCCCAGCCUCCCCACCCCACCCCACCACCGCAAUGCACCGGGAAAGGCAGCAUGGCUGAUCAAAGAGGCCGGGCUCCUAUAUUCCCUCCUGUUCUGCGAGGUGACACAGAGAGCCAGCUCCUGCUCCUGCCUCCCCAGCUGUGGGCGAACCUCCAGCGGCUUAGAAAAGCCAUGCCAUCCAAGUGGGGCCUCUGAGGAGACUGGAGCCUGAAGGGCAGAGACCAACCACGUUCAACUCCACACUUAGACAGCCAGUGGGCAUGUUCUGUCCUCAUGUUCUCUUGCCUUCUAAUUUGGUCAUCUGCUCAAGCUUUGAAAGAAAUCAGAGAAGCAAUCAACAGACAAGGCAACCACGGCUCCCAGGGAAACUCUAGGCCUGGGUCUCAGGGUGCAGGAUGAACAGAGAACAGAGGACACUGCACAGAACAACACAGCACAUACUAAAGGCACAGAUUGCCUCAUGCGUCCUGCUGUGUGGACUGUCUUCCACCCUGCUCCUUGACCAAAGAACAUAUCCAACCGUGUCCUUGCCAGCAUCUCAGCCUGAUGCUUUUCUUAAACAGCCGGGAAACACUGGGUUCCAUCAUUUUUUCAGCUGUUUCUCCUUUCGUGGAGAUGUUCCUUCCUCCCAUCGUGGGACCACACCUGUGCCACCUCUGCCAGCAAGAAGCCGUCACCAGGUGCAGCUCCUUGGCUUUGACUCCAGGUGUUGUGGUCCCGUGGAGCUGGUCCCAGCUUGAGCCACUCCAGUCAGAACCUUGAUCCGAUCACUGCUUCCUGCUACAUCAAGAUGUCCCCAAUCCAGACCAGCUCACACCCUCCUUCCCAACCCUCUGCAGACGCUGUGCUACCCUGAGACCCCACCAGUCAGCCCCUCAGUUUCCUUCAUCGCUCCUGCUGUAGCAAUCCAUGCAUCCUGUCAUUGGGAAAGGCCUCCUGCCCCUUAAAACGUACACCAAAUACAUUAUUCACAAAAGUCUUGUUGAUAUGCUCUUUCUCAAUAUAAUUGUCAGGCUCCUGGGUGUUGUGGGGAGGAGGAAGAAGUUUGAGGUAAAUCACAGGAGUCCACACAGAUGUGAGAAGGGGAAGCAUGUGUUCUCUGCUGAGGCUGAAUCCCAAGAACAGCCCCCCCCCCCCCAGAGUUGGGCCAACACUCAGGCACACCUACGUGUCUGUUUUCUGAUCUUUAAGAUCAUAAGGAGGAAAAUGCUCCAGACUGUGGUGACAGGAGGAGCCUGCUCAAGACUAAGUGGGCAGGAGCUUUAGAAAAAGUUUCCAUCGUCUGUUGGGUGUGACCAACUUCUUUAAGCUCCUGUCUUGGCUUCCCCACAGUGAUGGGUGCUAACCAGGAAUCAUAAGCUGACCUAGACCAGCAGGUUGGUCUUCAGUGACAGCACCCUGAGGGGGAGCACCUGGGGAUGAGAAAAUAAAGACCUUAGGUCACGUGUGCGCUGAUGGCUUAUAUCAAACACGUUUAUUAUGUGCAGAAUCAUAUGCAGUUAGUAGGAGGAGCUGGGACAGAACCAGCAGGGAACUAAGGUACAACAGGACAAUGUCAGCAGGAAGCUAAGCAACACUGUUGCACUGAGAGGACAUGGAUAGCUCAGAUGCGAUGGAGUACUUAAGUAGCCUCGGGACUGAUAACCACAGACCUGCAAGUGGGGGGAAAUUGGGCUCUCAGGCUCUGAAGCUGUAGCUCCCCUGACCCUCCCUCUGCCCCAAAGUCCUGGCUCCAGGCCAUUACUAGCCUUGCUAAUCCUGCUUCUCAUAGACAAAGAACUGUGUUCCUUAUUAAAAUAUCUAGGCCUCAGGAAAAUGCUCCAGGCCAGCCUGGCCCUUAACAGUAAGCUAAAUAAACU